CAACUUUCAGCAAUGGAUCUCUUGGCUCUCGCAUCGAUGAAGAACGCAGCGAAUUGCGAUAUGUAAUGUGAAUUGCAGAUUUUCCGUGAAUCAUCGAAUUUUUGAACGCACCUUGCGCUCCUUGGUAUUCCGAGGAGUAUGCCUGUUUGAGUGUCAUUAAAUUCU
This 165-nucleotide ribosomal RNA is filed under the name Tapinella panuoides. Its description in RNAcentral is "5.8S ribosomal RNA". It matches the Rfam family "5.8S ribosomal RNA". Rfam says of the family: 5.8S ribosomal RNA (5.8S rRNA) is a component of the large subunit of the eukaryotic ribosome. It is transcribed by RNA polymerase I as part of the 45S precursor that also contains 18S and 28S rRNA. Functionally, it is thought that 5.8S rRNA may be involved in ribosome translocation. Lineage: Eukaryota; Fungi; Basidiomycota; Agaricomycetes; Boletales; Tapinellaceae. The record is from RNAcentral.